RNAcentral lists this transfer RNA (77 nucleotides) under Paracoccaceae bacterium. Its description in RNAcentral is "Rhodobacteraceae bacterium tRNA-OTHER". It matches the Rfam family "tRNA". From Rfam's summary of the family: Transfer RNA (tRNA) molecules are approximately 80 nucleotides in length. Their secondary structure includes four short double-helical elements and three loops (D, anti-codon, and T loops). Further hydrogen bonds mediate the characteristic L-shaped molecular structure. tRNAs have two regions of fundamental functional importance: the anti-codon, which is responsible for specific mRNA codon recognition, and the 3' end, to which the tRNAs corresponding amino acid is attached (by aminoacyl-tRNA synthetases). tRNAs cope with the degeneracy of the genetic code in two manners: having more than one tRNA (with a specific anti-codon) for a particular amino acid; and 'wobble' base-pairing, i.e. permitting non-standard base-pairing at the 3rd anti-codon position. Lineage: Bacteria; Pseudomonadati; Pseudomonadota; Alphaproteobacteria; Rhodobacterales; Paracoccaceae. The record is from RNAcentral.
GCGCCCGUAGCUCAGUUGGAUAGAGUACCAAGCUUCGAACCUAGGUGUCGGGGGUUCGAGUCCCUCCGGGUGCGCCA